Salmo salar (Atlantic salmon) is the source of this 2475-nucleotide non-coding RNA. The record is from RefSeq and is a predicted model, not a curated record. NCBI's taxonomy places the organism in Eukaryota, Metazoa, Chordata, Actinopteri, Salmoniformes, Salmonidae.
UUGGUGGACGUAAGGAAAACUACAGGCGAAUAUCCAACCUGAAACUGUCUUUACCUCGGUUCUUAAAGUCCAUUGAAACUCAAUGGACAAAACAUGAUCUUAGUGCUACGAUGCUUUUGGGGAAGCCAGACCUGUUCGGUAACAUAAUACAUGUUUUCUUCAAUGUACAAAGGUUGGAGCAUCUAACUUGCUAAAUGUGGCUAGCUAGUAACGUUAGAUGGUAGCUAACUUGCUAGUACGAGCUAGCCAGUCGUUAGCUGGUCGACUUGCUAACAAAGUUCCUGCUAGCUAUCUAAUCAAACUCCAGAUGAUCCGUAUAAACGUUAUGAUAGAACUAACUUGAUAGCUCAAUAACUAAACUAUACAUAUUUGCAGGAUGUCUUCCUUAAGUAUCUAUCAUAGCAAGUAGCUUUCUCACUCAUUGUCAACAUGUCUAUUAAUGAUGACGUAGUAAGACCGUAAUAUAUGGUAAAGUGCGCAAAAAUAUAUUCGUGUGUGAGACAACAUAUGCAUUUCUCUCCUAACAUUAAGAAAACCAAGAAAAUAUUUAAUAAUUGGCUACAACGGGAUCUUUCUAUACUUGGGAGAGUGCUUCUGUCCAAGGCAGAGGGACUGUCUCGCUUUUUGUACCCCUCAUUAUCUUCAUUUGUAAAUCCCUCUACCUGUAAAGAGAUCAACAAGACCUUUCUUGACUUCAUCUGGAAGUGUUGGGUUUUGUUGACAUAAGUAACACUUUCAAGACCAAUUGGUUGAAAAGAUGUUUGGUCAAUACAGAAUCAAGAAUCAUUCCAAACAAUGUGUUUAAUAAGUUGGAGGAUUUCAAUUUUUACUGAAAUGUAAUUAUAUUCCUGAGAAAUUGGCUAGGUUUCACCAACAAGCUUUAAUGUCCUGGAAAAUGUUUCUUGCACAAUUUUUGCCUACAUAAAGCUAUUUUUUGUGAAAUAAUUCAUACAUAAGUAAUUGUUCUACCCUAGCUGGCAUGGGAGGAAUAUUGACUUUGUUCUUGAUGUUUUCGACAGCAGGGGUAAUACUCUUGCUUGUGCGUCAAUAUCACUAAAAGUGUUAUUUUUUUGUCCUCAAGAUAAAUCAUUCAAAAUUGUAUAUAAAAAAAUAUACACUUGAUGAAAUUUCAAAAGGAUCCUUUUGUAUGUAUGCCUUCAUGAUAAUAGAAGCAUAAUGAUGUAGACUUCAAACUACAUUUUAUACAUUUUAGACUAUUUUAUUUCAGUGGAAGGAAGCAAUGUCCCAAGUGCUGCUCAAUCAACUUCAACGAAAAAAAUUAUACAUUUAAAGAAACAUUUUCAAAUUUUCUUCAUUAAAUGUUAUCUUAUGUAUAGACUUUUGUGUUAAAUGCUGCACUUUUUAUAAGAAUAUUGACUAUUUUCUGUACAUCCUCAGUCGUUGUCCACCCUGUUACAUUGUGGUUACUGGCACUUAUAUAUAUUUUAUAUAUUUUGACAUCAAAAUACAAUGUAUAUUUUCUACAAUGAGAUCACCAACAGGAAAUGAUGUCACUUCCUUGGCGGGAAAACAACUGUGGUGAACCUGUGCAGCUGAAAGACAGCGGCAAUACAGAGAACGACGUAAUGCUGCCCCAGAAAGGAGAGUAUCUAGAGAAAGAGAGGGAGGAAAGAUAAAAGAGACUGGGAAGAAGAAGGCAAUAGCUGAACUCAGUGACAGAGUGCAGCAUGCAGAAAGGAAGAAAUGGAGAGAUUCAAACAGGAUACUCAGAGCCAGGGUCAAGACUAGUGCAUUGCUGCAGUCUGCAGAGAUGCCAUUAAAGGAACGAUGAAGAUUAAUCAGGUUAUCAGUGUCUCACCAGGCCAGAUAAAAUACUUGUCUGUGCAGAAGGAUAGUGGCAUGUUGGACUGUCCUUGUUUUCAGCUCAAAGAGGCAACUCUGGGUGACCCUGCAGCAUCUAACCAGCUCCCUACAUCUCAUGACGAGGCUGACACCACAUGGCGACCUGGAACCAUUGAACUUAAUCACGUAGGGGAGUGGUGUGUUGUCAAUUAUGACCAUGAAGGAUACCCUGGCAUCAUCAUAGAUGUAGAGGAACAUAACAUUAAGGUGAAGUGCAUGCACCUGAAUGGCAUCAACAAAUUCUUCUGGCCAAGUCCAAAGGAAGAUAUUUGUUGGUACUCUGAUGGACAGAUAAUUUGUCAGAUGCCAGAGCCAUGGGCUGUUAAUAAACACUCUGUACAGAUGGAAAGAUCCACCUGGAAGUACGUGGAAGAGCAUUUGGGGUGAAAGGGGGGACGGAUGGAAAUUGGGGGAGAGGAAGAGAGGGAGAGGAAUGUGUUUUAAUGCUAAUUCCAAUGAUUUUUCUACUGGCAAUGUAUUUUUGUGUUGUUUUUCACAAUGAAUACAGUUGAAGUCGGAAGUUUACAUACACUUAGGUUGGAGUCAUUAAAACUCGUUUUUCAACCACUCCACAAAUUUCUUUUUAACAAACUAUAGUAUGGGCAAGUCGGU